Small nucleolar RNA from Jaculus jaculus (lesser Egyptian jerboa), 136 nucleotides. The record is from Ensembl. NCBI's taxonomy places the organism in Eukaryota, Metazoa, Chordata, Mammalia, Rodentia, Dipodidae.
CAGUCAGUCCAUUAAUCUCUUUAUCUGAAUGUGUUUCUAUAGAAAUUUAGAAAAAACUGACAAUAGCAAUGCCAUGUUAACAGCCUUAGGAAAAACGGAAGUGAAGUUAUUAGGGUCCCUGAAAAUGGCUACAGUA